This is a long non-coding RNA of Planococcus citri (citrus mealybug), 350 nucleotides long. RefSeq lists it as uncharacterized. NCBI's taxonomy places the organism in Eukaryota, Metazoa, Arthropoda, Insecta, Hemiptera, Pseudococcidae. The record is from RefSeq and is a predicted model, not a curated record. The transcript is spliced from 2 exons.
UUCAAGGCAAUAGCACCCACGUUCAUUAUGGCUGAAAAAAAAUCAACUCGCGAGUUAAUUUCACUCAAACCUACAAUACGAACGUCAUCGUCAAGUCUUCGACAAUAUGAUAUGAAAGCUCACCUCGACACUGAACCGACCACUUUGUGGUUUUUCAACCUUAUCAAACAAUCAUACGUGUGUCUGAGAGUUCACAGGUAGGUAUACCAUUGAAUCCACUCAGCAUUGGUCUCCUUGAAAACCUCAAUUCUGCCGCGGUAGCAUGGAUAUGUAGUACCUGUACCUCUAUGUAAUGUACUAGGUAGAACGUGCUGACAAAAAUACAAAUAAAUAAAUAAUUUCAAGGUAAA